This 520-nucleotide unclassified non-coding RNA is filed under the name uncultured Glomus. RNAcentral describes it as "SSU rRNA". It matches the Rfam family "Eukaryotic small subunit ribosomal RNA", at positions 569 to 1092 of the family's 1831-position model. The record is from RNAcentral. Lineage: Eukaryota; Fungi; Glomeromycota; Glomeromycetes; Glomerales; Glomeraceae.
AGCAGCCGCGGUAAUUCCAGCUCCAAUAGCGUAUAUUAAAGUUGUUGCAGUUAAAAGCUCGUAGUUGAAUUUCGGGGUUAGUAGGUUGGUCAUGCCUCUGGUAUGUACUGGUCUCACUGAUCCCUCCUUCCUGAUGAGCCGUAAUGCCAUUAAUUUGGUGUUGCGGGGAAUUUGGACUGUUACUUUGAAAAAUUAGAGUGUUUAAAGCAAGCUAACGCUUGAAUACAUUAGCAUGGAAUAAUGAAAUAGGACGUUCGAUCCUAUUUUGUUGGUUUCUAGGAUUGACGUAAUGAUUAAUAGGGAUAGUUGGGGGCAUUAGUAUUCAAUUGUCAGAGGUGAAAUUCUUGGAUUUAUUGAAGACUAACUACUGCGAAAGCAUUUGCCAAGGAUGUUUUCAUUAAUCAAGAACGAAAGUUAGGGGAUCGAAGACGAUCAGAUACCGUCGUAGUCUUAACCAUAAACUAUGCCGACUAGGGAUCGGAUGAUGUUAAUUUUUUAAUGACUCAUUCGGCGCCUUAAC